Molecule: ribosomal RNA, 497 nt
Filed under: uncultured bacterium
Lineage: Bacteria
Description: partial 16S ribosomal RNA
Rfam family: Bacterial small subunit ribosomal RNA
Source: RNAcentral
GAUGAACGCUGGCGGCGUGCCUAAUACAUGCAAGUCGAGCGAACAGAUAAGGAGCUUGCUCCUUUGACGUUAGCGGCGGACGGGUGAGUAACACGUGGUUAACCUACCUCUAAGACUGUAAUAACUACGGGAAACCGGGGCUAAUGCCGGAUAACAUUUAGAACCGAAUGGUUCUCAAGUGAAAGAUGGUUUUGCUAUCACUUAUAGAUGGACCCGCGCCGUAUUAGCUAGUUGGUAAGGUAGCGGCUUACCAAGGCAACGAUACGUAGCCCACCCGAGAGGGUGAUCCGCCACACGGUAACUGAGACACGGUCCAGACUCCUACGGGAGGCAGCAGUAGGGAAUCUUCCGCAAGGGGCGAAAGCCUGACGGAGCAAAGCCGCGUGAGUGAUGAAGGUCUUCGGAUCGUAAAACUCUGUUAUUAGGGAAGAACAAAUGUGUAAGUAACUGUGCACGUCUUGACGGUACCUAAUCAGAAAGCCACGGCUAACUACGUG